GCCGGGGUGGCGAAACAGGCAGACGCGGGGGACUUAAAAUCCUCUGGGGCCUCGGCCCCGUCCGAGUUCGAGUCUCGGCCCCGGCA
Molecule: transfer RNA, 86 nt
Filed under: Actinomycetes bacterium
Lineage: Bacteria; Bacillati; Actinomycetota; Actinomycetes
Description: tRNA-Leu
Rfam family: tRNA
About the family: Transfer RNA (tRNA) molecules are approximately 80 nucleotides in length. Their secondary structure includes four short double-helical elements and three loops (D, anti-codon, and T loops). Further hydrogen bonds mediate the characteristic L-shaped molecular structure. tRNAs have two regions of fundamental functional importance: the anti-codon, which is responsible for specific mRNA codon recognition, and the 3' end, to which the tRNAs corresponding amino acid is attached (by aminoacyl-tRNA synthetases). tRNAs cope with the degeneracy of the genetic code in two manners: having more than one tRNA (with a specific anti-codon) for a particular amino acid; and 'wobble' base-pairing, i.e. permitting non-standard base-pairing at the 3rd anti-codon position.
Source: RNAcentral